UUUCAAGCAUAAGUAUGUCCCACACAACAGUUGGGAUAUACUUAUACUAAAA
RNAcentral lists this microRNA precursor (52 nucleotides) under Heterocephalus glaber (naked mole-rat). RNAcentral describes it as "mir-1302 microRNA precursor family". It matches the Rfam family "mir-1302 microRNA precursor family". The record is from Rfam by way of RNAcentral. Lineage: Eukaryota; Metazoa; Chordata; Mammalia; Rodentia; Bathyergidae.